Molecule: ribosomal RNA, 1343 nt
Filed under: uncultured bacterium
Lineage: Bacteria
Description: 16S ribosomal RNA
Rfam family: Bacterial small subunit ribosomal RNA
Source: RNAcentral
GACGAACGCUGGCGGCGUGCUUAACACAUGCAAGUCGAACGGAAAGGCCCUGCUUUUGUGGGGUGCUCGAGUGGCGAACGGGUGAGUAACACGUGAGUAACCUGCCCUUGACUUUGGGAUAACUUCAGGAAACUGGGGCUAAUACCGGAUAGGAGCUCCUGCUGCAUGGUGGGGGUUGGAAAGUUUCGGCGGUUGGGGAUGGACUCGCGGCUUAUCAGCUUGUUGGUGGGGUAGUGGCUUACCAAGGCUUUGACGGGUAGCCGGCCUGAGAGGGUGACCGGCCACAUUGGGACUGAGGUACGGCCCAGACUCCUACGGGAGGCAGCAGUGGGGAAUAUUGCACAAUGGGCGGAAGCCUGAUGCAGCAACGCCGCGUGCGGGAUGACGGCCUUCGGGUUGUAAACCGCUUUCGCCUGUGACGAAGCGUGAGUGACGGUAAUGGGUAAAGAAGCACCGGCUAACUACGUGCCAGCAGCCGCGGUGAUACGUAGGGUGCGAGCGUUGUCCGGAUUUAUUGGGCGUAAAGGGCUCGUAGGUGGUUGAUCGCGUCGGAAGUGUAAUCUUGGGGCUUAACCCUGAGCGUGCUUUCGAUACGGGUUGACUUGAGGAAGGUAGGGGAGAAUGGAAUUCCUGGUGGAGCGGUGGAAUGCGCAGAUAUCAGGAGGAACACCAGUGGCGAAGGCGGUUCUCUGGGCCUUUCCUGACGCUGAGGAGCGAAAGCGUGGGGAGCGAACAGGCUUAGAUACCCUGGUAGUCCACGCUGUAAACGGUGGGUACUAGGUGUGGGGUCCAUUCCACGGGUUCCGUGCCGUAGCUAACGCUUUAAGUACCCCGCCUGGGGAGUACGGCCGCAAGGCUAAAACUCGAAGGAAUUGACGGGGCCCCGCACAAGCGGCGGAGCAUGCGGAUUAAUUCGAUGCAACGCGUAGAACCUUACCUGGGUUUGACAUGGAUCGGGAGUGCUCAGAGAUGGGUGUGCCUCUUUUGGGGUCGGUUCACAGGUGGUGCAUGGCUGUCGUCAGCUCGUGUCGUGAGAUGUUGGGUUAAGUCCCGCAACGAGCGCAACCCUUGUUCACUGUUGCCAGCACGUUAUGGUGGGGACUCAGUGGAGACCGCCGGGGUCAACUCGGAGGAAGGUGGGGAUGACGUCAAGUCAUCAUGCCCCUUAUGUCCAGGGCUUCACGCAUGCUACAAUGGCUGGUACAGAGAGUGGCGAGCCUGUGAGGGUGAGCGAAUCUCGGAAAGCCGGUCUCAGUUCGGAUUGGGGUCUGCAACUCGACCUCAUGAAGUCGGAGUCGCUAGUAAUCGCAGAUCAGCAACGCUGCGGUGAAUACGUUCCCGGG